AGUGAACGCUGGCGGCGUGCCUGAUACAUGCAAGUCGAACGGAGAUUAAGUAGCUUGCUAUUUAAUCUUAGUGGCGCACGGGUGAGUAAUAUAUAGCUACCUUGCCCAUUACUAAGGGACAACAGUUGGAAACGACUGCUAAUACCUUAUACUCCGUAUCUAUAUAAGUAGAUACGGGAAAGUUUUUCGGUAAUGGAUAGGGCUAUAUCGUAUCAGCUAGUUGGUAAGGUAAUGGCUUACCAAGGCUAUGACGCGUAACUGGUCUGAGAGGAUGAUCAGUCACACUGGAACUGAGACACGGUCCAGACUCCUACGGGAGGCAGCAGUAGGGAAUAUUGCUCAAUGGGGGAAACCCUGAAGCAGCAUCGCCGCGUGAAGUAUGACACUUUUCGGAGCGUAAACUCCUUUUCUUGGGAAAGAAUUAUGACGGUACCCAAGGAAUAAGCACCGGCUAACUCCGUG
This 462-nucleotide ribosomal RNA is filed under the name uncultured bacterium. RNAcentral describes it as "partial 16S ribosomal RNA". It matches the Rfam family "Bacterial small subunit ribosomal RNA", at positions 29 to 507 of the family's 1533-position model. The record is from RNAcentral.